This 63-nucleotide transfer RNA is filed under the name Tenebrionoidea sp. 11 KM-2017. Its description in RNAcentral is "tRNA-His". Lineage: Eukaryota; Metazoa; Arthropoda; Insecta; Coleoptera. The record is from RNAcentral.
AUCUAAAUAGUUUAAUAAAAAUUUCAAUUUGUGGAGUUGAUGAUGUACUUUGUAUUUUAGAUA